GUCAGUGUGGGGUAGUGGUUUGUGUAUUGCAUUAUGACUCUAGAGACCGGGGUUUGAAUCCCUGAUCUGCCA
Non-coding RNA from Phrynosoma platyrhinos (Desert horned lizard), 72 nucleotides. The record is from the annotation of a GenBank genome assembly. NCBI's taxonomy places the organism in Eukaryota, Metazoa, Chordata, Lepidosauria, Squamata, Phrynosomatidae.